This 255-nucleotide ribosomal RNA is filed under the name uncultured Gardnerella sp. RNAcentral describes it as "partial 16S ribosomal RNA". It matches the Rfam family "Bacterial small subunit ribosomal RNA", at positions 99 to 355 of the family's 1533-position model. Lineage: Bacteria; Bacillati; Actinomycetota; Actinomycetes; Bifidobacteriales; Bifidobacteriaceae. The record is from RNAcentral.
CGAACGGGUGAGUAAUGCGUGACCAACCUGCCCCAUGCUCCAGAAUAGCUCUUGGAAACGGGUGGUAAUGCUGGAUGCUCCAACUUGACGCAUGUCUUGUUGGGAAAGUGUUUAGUGGCAUGGGAUGGGGUCGCGUCCUAUCAGCUUGUAGGCGGGGUAAUGGCCCACCUAGGCUUCGACGGGUAGCCGGCCUGAGAGGGCGGACGGCCACAUUGGGACUGAGAUACGGCCCAGACUCCUACGGGGGCAGCAGCC